GACCUGAUCUCAGUCUGAAAAGCAUAAGAGGGGUGAAGAGGAGACAUUCCCCAAUAAAACUCUGAAGUCCGUUCUAGCUCAUGCCAGCAUGCAGCAGCUGUUAAUCCCCCAGAGAACAUUUGACUCUCCUCCUCGUGGUGAUGAUCAUUAAGCAUGAUGAAUACAAAUGCCAUUUGUUGAUUCAGGUGCUAAGAGUCUGAGCCACACAGCUUCGAUGUCAGCCGGAUAGUACCUCAGUGUCUGGGACAGGACACGGAGAUCUUCGGGGAAGGCAGAGCUGGCUGAUGAACCCUAUCCAGUGUCCUGAUUAAUGCAUUACAGGGAAUCUGAAGGAAGUCAAGGGAAAUGAACAUUUGAGAACCUUUGUUCACACUCUGCAGCAAAAUCAUGUGAGGAUGGUGAGACGCAUGUCACAGCCUCCUAUUUUACAGAAGAGGAAAACUGAGACUAGAAAAGUGCAGAGGCUUGAACACAAUGAGUGCAGACAGCUGCUGCAUGUCAGCAGAGGGGGAAAUAAUACCUGUUCAUCAGGGAGCUAAUUCUGCAAAAUGCACCAUCUAAUAGAAUAUUCCUGGGAG
Molecule: long non-coding RNA, 578 nt
Organism: Symphalangus syndactylus (siamang)
Lineage: Eukaryota; Metazoa; Chordata; Mammalia; Primates; Hylobatidae
Source: RefSeq, a predicted model, not a curated record